UACAUGGGGUGCAAACGUUGCUCGGAAUUAUUGGGCGUAAAGCGCGCGUAGGCGGUUAAUUAAGUCGGAUGUGAAAGCCCUCGGCUUAACUGAGGAAGUGCACCCGAAACUGAGUAGCUGGAGUACGAAAGAGGGUCGCGGAAUUCCCGGUGUAGAGGUGAAAUUCGUAGAUAUCUGGAGGAACACCGGUGGCGAAGGCGGCAUCCUGGACCAAUACUGACGCUGAGGGGCGAAAGCCAGGGGAGCAAACGGG
Molecule: ribosomal RNA, 253 nt
Filed under: uncultured bacterium
Lineage: Bacteria
Description: partial 16S ribosomal RNA
Rfam family: Bacterial small subunit ribosomal RNA
Source: RNAcentral